CUCCCCAUCACUAAGCUGCUCAUCUGGAAACACUUCGUCUGUAUUUUCUCGAAGCAAGUCUCCUGGGAUAGGGGUGGCAUUUGCAAUUCUGAAGAAUUAGGAGAGGAAACCAGAAAACUUUAAAGACCAGAAUAAAAGAGGAGCCGGGCAAUGGUUGUGCAUGCCUUUAAUCCCAAGCACUGGGGAAGAAGUAGGUGGAUCUCUGUGAGUUCAAGGCCAGCCUGGUCUACAGCUGGAGUUCUAGGACAGCUACACAAAGAAAUCCUGUCUCGACAAACUAAAAAACAAUCAAACAAACAAAAACAAAAAUUCAAAAAAAUCCCAAUCACACAUACAGAAAAAAUUUUAUGUGUAUGUUUAUAUACACAGUCCAAUUUAUGCUUUUAGUUUGGCUUGUUUCAAAUAUAAUUUCAUUCUUACCUA
Rattus norvegicus (Norway rat) is the source of this 423-nucleotide long non-coding RNA. RefSeq lists it as uncharacterized. The record is from RefSeq and is a predicted model, not a curated record. NCBI's taxonomy places the organism in Eukaryota, Metazoa, Chordata, Mammalia, Rodentia, Muridae.